RNAcentral lists this long non-coding RNA (258 nucleotides) under Lathyrus oleraceus (garden pea). Its description in RNAcentral is "Pisum sativum (pea) long non-coding RNA (PSAT_LNC005609)". Lineage: Eukaryota; Viridiplantae; Streptophyta; Magnoliopsida; Fabales; Fabaceae. The record is from RNAcentral.
AUCGGAUUAGAUUGAUGGGUUCGAUCGGUUAAAUUAUUGGUUAAACAUUUAUAACCUAUAUAGUAAGUAAAGAGGAAAAAUCAAAAAAUUAAUGAAAAUAAAAAAAAUCAGUCAUAAAUUGACAGUCCUCCAAUGACUAGGUUGAAUUGAAUUUUAAUUUUUUUUAACAUUAUUUUUAAAUUCACUAAAUGUAAGAUUUAAUAAAAACUAAAAAAAUAUCAAUUUAAUGCUAUUAAAUUAGAUGAUGCACAAUUUAAA